GGGGAACUUGUCCCUUCUUUGUCCUGACCCUCCAACGUGCUGCCUCUCCAUUUGACAUGGUGAGCUGUGACUCUGACAUUGCCCCGAUGCAGCUGGAUGUCCCACUGGAGUACACCACUGCUGUGAGACUGCUGUUUCUGCCCAACAGCCCUGUGUCUUCCUCUUCCCUCUGCAUUGCAUCUGGAUGGAAGAUCACUGAAGAAGAAAAAUCCCAAGGAGAUGAGUUCAGAGCUGUCGCGAUACAAGGAUGCCACCCUUACAGACUGGGAAGGAAAGAUGGGACAUCCUGGUGACGGGACGAGACGCAGAAACACCACCAGCAGCUGCCACUGGAGAGUUAUAGCCCCAUUAAAAUCCAUUUUUUGAGUUGAAGUCCUGGACUUAUGAACUGAAAGAAAUCUCUCUAAUUGUCAUGACCAGCUGAUGGUGUAUGAAGGAUUUGGACUAACCAAAGAGUUAAUA
This is a long non-coding RNA of Lagopus leucura (white-tailed ptarmigan), 462 nucleotides long. RefSeq lists it as uncharacterized. The transcript has 3 exons. Lineage: Eukaryota; Metazoa; Chordata; Aves; Galliformes; Phasianidae. The record is from RefSeq and is a predicted model, not a curated record.